GAUUCGGUCUGAAAGGGUUCGCAGCACAUGGGAAGUGAGGAAGAGGCAACAUGGGGUGAGAAGGCCGGGGACGGCCUCCUGCAGCGUGAGUGAAGCUACGUGGGCAGAGCAAGAGGUUUGCAAGAGAUCACAGAGACCGACUGUGAGAUGCUUUACUCCAAACUCAAAGCAGUUGCUACACAGAAGCAAAAACUUCUAUUUUUCACUGUGAAGAUGCCUGGAAUAAAAGACCAUAAGAAGAGAGAGGCCCAGCUAUCACAACCAUUCCAACCAUACCACAUGAGGGCUCAGUCUGAAAUCUAAUUAAAUUUUGGAUCAGCACAUGAUAGAAGGAAAGGCUUUCUAUUGUGUUCCAAUGAUCUAUUCAUCUGUUCUUUCACCAAGACAACACUGCCUUGAAGUGGUA
Long non-coding RNA from Zalophus californianus (California sea lion), 406 nucleotides. RefSeq lists it as uncharacterized. The record is from RefSeq and is a predicted model, not a curated record. NCBI's taxonomy places the organism in Eukaryota, Metazoa, Chordata, Mammalia, Carnivora, Otariidae. The transcript is spliced from 4 exons.